Molecule: long non-coding RNA, 1032 nt
Filed under: Mytilus galloprovincialis (Mediterranean mussel)
Lineage: Eukaryota; Metazoa; Mollusca; Bivalvia; Mytilida; Mytilidae
Source: RNAcentral
CUCAGUUUGCUUAAGCUUUUGACAAAGUUCUUCACAAAAUACUUUUCUCCAAACUUGAAUAUUAUGCCAUCGAAUGCAACACAUUAAAAUGGAUAGAAGAUUUUCUUACAUAUCCCGCACAGUCAAUAUGAUGGUGCACAAUCGGACCAAAUUAAUGUGGCAUCUACCAUUCUUUGGAUCAUAUCCUGUUCCUUGUGUACAUAAAUGACGUCCAUGAAUAUAUAAAACAAUGUACCCAAAGAUUAUUAGCAGAUGACAGCAUAAUUUACAAAACAAUAAGAAACAAAGAAGACACUCUAAAACUACAAGAUGACUUAAUAUCAGCAGUAAAAUGGGAGAAGGACUGGCUCAUGUCAUUCCAUCCAGACAAGUGAGCAGUCCAUCAGAUAACAACUUAGAAAACCGUAAUAAAAUUUGAUAACCCUCCCCACCAACAUAUACGACAAAACGAAAAAUCAACAAAAUAUCAUACAAACUUCAAAUGCUUACAGUUCAGUCACACAAAAGCUGAUUUUUAUGAAGAGUACAAAACAGAAGAAAAAAAUACUUUGAACUUUUGUACGAACAUAUUUCACUGUAAAUAGAAUUUAUAUAUCCAACACACGCGCGGCAUAGUGACAUCAACUAUAAUGAAGAAGACCUGAACAGAAAAAAAUAAAUACAAUGUUUAUCAAACAGAUAGUAUUACUCGUGUUUCUUUUUGGUGAGUUAGUAUUACUUUUAAAGUAACUAAUUAUCAAAAUUAUGGAAAUAUGAAUGGUAAAAAUGCGGAUAAGGAACACAUCUUAACAAAGGCAAGUGAAAAUAAAAUUAAAUUUAAAAAUGGUAAAGAACGUGUAUAGAAAGCAAGGUUGACAAGAGAAAGCCACUGCAUGUGUUGACAAUAUCAAAACUGUAAUUUAUUAUGGACAUUAAAAGUAAAACAAACCAGAGUGUUUGGUAGAAGUUUGGUUAGGCAUAGCAGAGUAAGAACAGGUAUAGGGAUACCUAUGAAGGUUGCAUCAGAAGGAAACAAUCCAAUCAAGAUACAGA